AAAAACAUGUCUUUUUGAUAAUAAUUUAAAGUCUAACCUGCCCACUGAUUUUAUAUUUAAAGGCCGCAGUAUUUUGACUGUGCAAAGGUAGCAUAAUCAUUUGUCUUUUAAUUGAAGGCUGGAAUGAAUGGUUGAAUGAAGUAUAAACUGUCUCAUUUUAAUAAUUUAAGAAUUUAGCUUUUAAAUUAAAAGGUUUAAAUAAAAUUAAAAGACGAGAAGACCCUAUAGAUUUUUAUAAUAAUUAAAAUUAUAUUUUAAAGUAUAAUAUUAAUUAUAAUUAGUAUUAUUAUUUGAUUGGGGUGAUUGGAAAAUUAAAUAAACUUUUUUUAUUUUAUGACAUUGAUUUAUGAUUAAUUGAUCCAAUAUUAUUGAUUAUAAGAUUAAAUUACCUUAGGGAUAACAGCGUAAUUUUUUUGGAGAGUUCUUAUCGAUAAAAAAGAUUGCGACCUCGAUGUUGAAUUAAAGGUUAUUUUUAAAUGUAGAAGUUUAAAGUUUAGGUCUGUUCGACCUUUAAAUCUUUACAUGAUCU
This 529-nucleotide ribosomal RNA is filed under the name Megalomina acuminata. RNAcentral describes it as "partial 16S ribosomal RNA". The stretch from base 396 to 529 matches the Rfam family "Bacterial large subunit ribosomal RNA", at positions 2473 to 2606 of the family's 2925-position model. Lineage: Eukaryota; Metazoa; Arthropoda; Insecta; Neuroptera; Hemerobiidae. The record is from RNAcentral.